CCUACGGGUGGCAGCAGUGAGGAAUAUUGGUCAAUGGGCGGAAGCCUGAACCAGCCAAGUAGCGUGCAGGAUGACGGCUCUACGGGUUGUAAACUGCUUUUAUACGGGAAUAACGCGCCUUACGUGGAGGGCUUUGCAUGUAUCGUAUGAAUAAGGACCGGUUAAUUUCGUGCCAGAAGCCGCGGUAAUACGGAAGGUCCGGGGGUUAUCCGGAUUGAUUGGGUUUAAAGGGAGCGUAGGCCGCAUGUCAAGCGUGCUGUGAAAUGUCCGGGCUCAACCCGGGCCUUGCAGCGUGAACUGGCGUCCUUGAGUCCGCGGAGGGCAGUCGGAAUUCGUCGUGUAGCGGUGAAAUGCUUAGAUAUGACGAAGAACCCCGAUUGCGAAGGCAGCUUGCUGCAGCGGAACUGACGCUGAUGCUCGAAAGCGCGGGUAUCGAACAGGAUUAGAUACCCCGGUAGUC
RNAcentral lists this ribosomal RNA (460 nucleotides) under uncultured bacterium. RNAcentral describes it as "partial 16S ribosomal RNA". It matches the Rfam family "Bacterial small subunit ribosomal RNA", at positions 338 to 795 of the family's 1533-position model. The record is from RNAcentral.